This 4594-nucleotide long non-coding RNA is filed under the name Cricetulus griseus (Chinese hamster). Its description in RNAcentral is "lncRNA (ENSCGRG00015035751.1)". The record is from RNAcentral. Lineage: Eukaryota; Metazoa; Chordata; Mammalia; Rodentia; Cricetidae.
UGAGCACUGAGCACCUGCGGUCUUGUGAGCACUGUGCACCUGCGGUCUUGUGAGCACUGUGCACCUGCGCUCCUGUCUGGCCUCGUUCUCUCUUGAACUGAGAAUUCGCCAGCAUGGCGAGGAGACCGCCUCCUGCCGUGGGCCCCGCGGGCGCCCAUGGAAGGUCCGCAGCCUCCUGUGUCCCUUCCUGUGUGCACGGGGGGAGGCAGGGUUAGAUGUGAGUCGUCUGUAAGCACUGGAGAGGACCUCCAGUUGUCGGCACCCUUCAGAAUAUGCACUGUGUGUAUAUUCCUUCUAAAUCUAUUUGUUUUAUGUUGCGGGUGUAUCUGCACCCCACCUGUGUGCCUGCUGCUCAUGGAGGCCACAGAAGCCAUCGGUCUGGAACUAGAGUCACAGGCAGUUGUAAGCCAACACGUGCUGGACAUCUGCUGGCGUCACAACAGCAGCCGGUGCUGCUUUUAGCUGCUGAGCCAUCUCUGAUGGGGACGGUGCUUCUGUGUAUGUUCAUCUUACUGAUUGUUGACUAAAGUACUGUUGGCCAAUGAGGCAGCAAGUUAGGUGGAACUAGGAGUCAAGCAGGAUUCUGGGAAAUGUAGUAGAGAAGUGGUGAUCCAGGCAGGAAGUGACAUGGCAGGGAGACUCCUAUAUAAACAAGGGCAAGAAGGAGGUGGGCCCCUUCGCUCUUCCUCCAGAGUCACCAUGUGAGCCCGAGAUAAGGACGCCAAUGGAAGGCAUCAGAUAAGCCUUAUAAAAUAUAUGGAUUUAUGAUAAUUAAGACUGAGCUAACAGAUGAGAAUCCUAGUAAUUGGCCAAGCAACCUUUGUACCUAAUAGAAGUCUCUGUGUGUUACCUGGGGCCCUAACACAGCGAGCAGAACUCAGGCAGGUGAAACCAGCCCGUGUAAUAUAUUAUGUCAACUACACACGCUCAAGGGGAAUCUUCUCACCUCUGUUAGGCUAGAAAGUCCCUCAGACUUGCUCAGAAGUUCAUCUCCAAGGAUGGAUAGCAGGAAGAAAGAGAGAGAGAGGAAGAAGAGACGGAUGGAGGGGGGAGAGAGGAAGAGAGAAUGAAUGACAAUCUGGGGAAGAGAACGGCCUUUGGAGUUGUGCCCCAAGCGACCUGCUUGGUUACUUGCCAGUGGACUAGCGCAUGUAUGAAAAGAUUACCCUUAGGAGCCACGUAACUCUCUGUGGUUCAACCAUGCAGGAGCCAAGUCUUCAACACGUGAUGGGCUUCUGUGGGGACACUUAAACGAAAACCACAAACCACCACAAGACCAAGGGACGAAAGUGCAGCUGAGAUGGCUCAGCUGAUGAGUGCAUUGCGGCCAGGCCUGAUUAUGUGAGUUUGAUCUUGGGGUCCCACGUGGUAGAAGGAAAGAACCGACUCCUGCAAGUUGUCCUCUGACCUCCAAACAUGUUCUCUUGAAAGACCCCCGAAGAGGUACUUUCGUAGAAGGAGACCCGUACCCAGGAAUCAGCGAGACCACGAACUUGGAUGCAAACUGCAAGAGGUUUUAUUAGAGACGCGGGUACCUGGGGCGACUUAGCUUCUGUGUGGCUAAGCGCGCUGAGCCAAGGGAAAGGGGUCCUUAUAUAGGGAAAAAGGCGCAAGCUAGAAGCAGGGAUUCUAUUGGAUAAUUCUAAUGAGGCAUUGUACAGAGCUAUUCCCAUUGGUCAAUGUAAAUGAGGCGCUAUACAGGGUUAUUCAAAUGAGGCGCAGUACAGAGUUAUUCAAAUGAGGUGAAACACAGAGUCUUUCAAAUGAGGUAAAGUACAGAAUCAUUUCUAUUGGAUGGUUCAAAUGAGACACAGAGCCAUUCCAGAUCAGCAUAUUCUCAAGGUCUGGUGUCUGGUACAACAGACUCAAUUCCCUCCGCGUCCGGACAGCUGACCUUGGGACGGAGGGUGGGGGUGUGGGAGCGGGGCUCCAGGCCGGCCUAACUGGUGCUCUCGCCCUCGGGCCAACGCACCUGGUGCUCGCCCUCGGGCCGGCCCACCUGGUGCUCGUUGCUCGAGGCGCGGUGCCAGGCGGGGCGGGCCGGGGGCGCGAGCCCUGUUGGGGUGUAGGCUUGGGAGGCCCUGGCAGCUCCGCGGCCCUCGUGUCCUUGGCCUUGGAGGCGGCUCCCCGCUCGCAGCUCCUAGACAAGCAGCACCGCUGCUCUCCCAGCUCAAGUUCCCCUUCCAGGCGCCGCCCGCGCUGCACUCUCCAGCCCCUGGCCGAACCCUGGCCCUGCCCUGCUCAGUCGCCGCGCUGCCCUCGGUCAACUGCUCCUCCCGCCUGCUCCAGAGAGAACACCCAGCACCGGCACAGGCGGGGAAGACAGAGGGGCAGGGGGCAUGCAGAAGUAUUCCGAGCGGGUCUUUCACUCUGUGGCGUCAUCACACCCCACCAUAUACAUGGCAUACUCGAAAUAAUAAAGCAGACAGUAUCUGAGUGUUGAGCCAAAUGAAUACCCUGAGAAACCCCCUCGUCAGUCAACACAGUGCUGUGCAGAUCUCAUCUGACAACACCCAGCCCCAAGAAGCCCGCCAGGGUUGGAGUUGCUGAGCACAGUUCUGUUCGGUCCGUGCAAUAUGAAAACACUGGGUGUUGUUUCAAAGCAAAGUCUGUGGGGUGGGAUACCCCUCUGCUCUGGGAAGAAUGAUAUUGGGUGGACGUGAGCUGCUGUGCAGAUGACCCUCGGGUGACAGGACUCAGACACAGAGAUUGGCAUUGUGACGCUUGGGGUUAGGACAACACUGUUGGGAGCUGGCAGAGCAUUUAGACAUGGGGAAUUCCAAUCUGCCUGCUUUAAUGACUUGACGUUAGGAUCACUGAGAACAUGACUUGCAAGGGCCCUGAGACUGGCCCCUUCCUCUUUGUCUUUCACAACCUAGCCCGUGAUAAGUCAAGCAGUAUUUAUUUAUUUGUUUGUUUAUUUAUUAUGUACACAGUGUUCUACCUGCAUGCAUUUGGGCACCAGGUCUCAUUACAGAUGGUUGUGAGCCACCAUGUGGUUGCUGGGAAUUGAGCUCAGGACCUCUGGAAGAGUAGCCAGUGCUCUUAACCUCUGAGCCAUCUCUCCAGCAGUUUGGCUGUGGCCUCAUUACAGGCCCAAAAGGCCCAAGGAGAAUCAGCUGUGGAUAGGGGCCUCUGGAACUAGGAGACAAAGUGGACUUUUUCUACUUGCAAGUUAAUUAUUUCAGGCAUUUUGUCACAAGCGUGGAUAAUUCUGUUUAUAUGAAAUACCUAGUGAAGGCAAAACCAUGAAGCACAUUAGUGGAUAUUGAGGCAGGAGUAACUGCAGGAGACCAAGAGAAGCAAACGUAGCGUUUUAGAUGUUGGAAAACAGAGUUGGGGUGGCUCUAAGUGUAUCAGUUUACUAAAACUCACCAAGUUGUGUGCUGUGAUUGCUGACGUUUGGGGUAUGCAAAUUAUGCCUAAAGUGGAGCUGGGUGGUUUUGUUUUGUUUUUAAUUAAAAGAUUCUUUGAGGAUCAACCUGUAACUGCUCAAUGUGAGAGUCACAGAAGCCAUCAUGCCUUUCAAGGGCGGGAGACGAUACAAUUAUGUCAAGCCAGACUUGGAAACCUUCAAAAACUAGAAUAUGCAAUUUCUAAACAUAAUUCUUAUGUUAGCUCACAAUACCAAUGCUGGGCCAAGAAUAUUAGCAUGUUAAAUUUAGGGCGACAAAUGGAGCACUUUCCUCCUUUGGAGGGAUGGUGAUGGGCCUGGGGGCCAGCAGGAGCUCUCUGAGCUUUUCUGGACUGGGCAGCUGUUUAGGGCAGAUCCUGGCAUGAGGAAAGGUAUUCAGGGUGUAGACUUAAAUACCUUCCCUAACAACUGUGGCAUUGCUGAGGGUACACCACCGUCACCACAGAAAUGCCGGCAAACUAUAAUAGGAAAAUCCAUCUUCAGAGGCAAAAGAAUGAAUGGAGCAUUCUAGAACUGGCAUUUCUGUCCCUGGCGAUUGGUUCUAUACUGUGCGCAUCAGAUUCUCCUGAUUUGUUAGAUAGGUUACUAGGCUGGGUCCAUGGAGCUGUGACCCUGAAUUUCUGGGAAAGAGUCUGAAUCCUAUCAAGCCCUGUAGGGGUGAAACUGACACCCCACAAGGGAGCACAGGCUGCAGAUGAGAGUAGCUGAUGGCGGCUCUGCUGUUUCAGUCUUGGGGAGAAGUUGGAUUUGCUUCAUAGCCUGGUCUCACACACGCACGCAUGCACGCACGCACCUCUUCCUCCUGAUUGAUUGACCCACCUGUGGUGACUUAUUACCGUGUCUGAAGAGUUUAAUUCAGGCACUAAACAUUUGCCUGCUAAUUUUAAGGUCGUUCUUACAUAGGGCCUGUAGAGGAGACUGAAGGGCUCCCUGGUUGAAACCCCUGCUGAGGUGGGGAAGAAAGCCUGAUUUGGCCAAGUUUGGCAAUCCAAUCCUGUUCAGAACCCUGAUAAACUCACCUGAUGUCACGUGGGAGAGCAGGAACGCUGUCCUUUCUGUGACACCCUGUUUUUCACUCUGCUUUUUAUACCAUCGCCCAGAGGUAGCUAGUGGUGACCAAUAACUUUUUCUAAGACCUUUGAAUGAGAAAUGUCCCCCAGGGGCCGAGUGUUUGGAUGC